Molecule: ribosomal RNA, 497 nt
Filed under: uncultured bacterium
Lineage: Bacteria
Description: partial 16S ribosomal RNA
Rfam family: Bacterial small subunit ribosomal RNA
Source: RNAcentral
GAUGAACGCUGGCGGCGUGCCUAAUACAUGCAAGUCGAGCGAACAGACGAGGAGCUUGCUCCUCUGACGUUAGCGGCGGACGGGUGAGUAACACGUGGAUAACCUACCUAUAAGACUGGGAUAACUUCGGGAAACCGGAGCUAAUACCGGAUAAUAUAUUGAACCGCAUGGUUCAAUAGUGAAAGACGGUUUUGCUGUCACUUAUAGAUGGAUCCGCGCCGCAUUAGCUAGUUGGUAAGGUAACGGCUUACCAAGGCAACGAUGCGUAGCCGACCUGAGAGGGUGAUCGGCCACACUGGAACUGAGACACGGCCCAGACUCCUACGGGAGGCAGCAGUAGGGAAUCUUCCGCAAUGGGCGAAAGCCUGACGGAGCAACGCCGCGUGAGUGAUGAAGGUCUUCGGAUCGUAAAACUCUGUUAUUAGGGAAGAACAAAUGUGUAAGUAACUAUGCACGUCUUGACGGUACCUAAUCAGAAAGCCACGGCUAACUACGUC